RNAcentral lists this ribosomal RNA (259 nucleotides) under uncultured bacterium. Its description in RNAcentral is "partial 16S ribosomal RNA". It matches the Rfam family "Bacterial small subunit ribosomal RNA", at positions 793 to 1055 of the family's 1533-position model. The record is from RNAcentral.
GUCCACGCAGUAAACGAUGAUUACUAGGAGUUUGCGAUACACAGUAAGCUCUACAGCGAAAGCGUUAAGUAAUCCACCUGGGGAGUACGCCGGCAACGGUGAAACUCAAAAGGAAUUGACGGGGCCCGCACAAGCGGAGGAACAUGUGGUUUAAUUCGAUGAUACGCGAGGAACCUUACCCGGGUUUGAACGUAGUCAGACCGACCUUGAAAGAGGUCUUCUAGCAAUAGCUGAUUACGAGGUGCUGCAUGGUUGUCGU